Molecule: ribosomal RNA, 347 nt
Filed under: uncultured bacterium
Lineage: Bacteria
Description: partial 16S ribosomal RNA
Rfam family: Bacterial small subunit ribosomal RNA
Source: RNAcentral
CCUACGGGUGGCAGCAGUGAGGAAUAUUGGUCAAUGGACGAGAGUCUGAACCAGCCAAGUAGCGUGAAGGAUGAAGGCCCGAUGGGUUGGAAACUGCGUUUAUAGGGGAAUAAAACGUGCCACGUGUGGGAUUUUGUAUGUACCAUAUGAAUAAGGAUCGGCUAACUCCGUGCCAGCAGCCGCGGUAAUACGGAGGAUCCGAGCGUUAUCCGGAUUUAUUGGGUUUAAAGGGAGCGUAGGUGGAUUGUUAAGUCAGUGGUGAAGGUUUGCGGCUCAACCGUAAAAUGGCAGUUGAUACUGGCAGUCUUGAGUACAGUAGAGGUUGGCGGAAUUCGUGGUGUAGCGGU